RNAcentral lists this ribosomal RNA (120 nucleotides) under Otolemur garnettii (small-eared galago). The record is from RNAcentral. Lineage: Eukaryota; Metazoa; Chordata; Mammalia; Primates; Galagidae.
AUUUGUGCCCGUACAACCCUGAACAUACCUGAUUGUAUCUGAUAUUAGAAGCUAAGAAGGGUCGGGCCUGGUUAGUGUUUGGAUGGGAGAAAGCAUAGAAAGGUAAUCAGGCCACAAGGC